GCCACAGAACUAUGCGCAGCUGGAACGGGAUCUUAUCGUUUGAAUCCUAGCACCCAGUCAGUGUCCCUCCUGCCUCCUCUGAGGGCACAUCAGAGGACUUCAGGAAAAUAGAGUGGGCACCAGGUGCUGAAUAAUGUCUCUGUAUAGAGUGAGUGGGUGAUUGGCUAGCUGUCAAACUACAGCGGGGAGGCAGAGCCAGGCUUCUUUCAAGCACAGUCCCUACCUACAUACUGCCAACCCAUCUGCUUCCCCACCACCACCGCCAUCUUGUGCAGUAUUCUGGGCCUGGCUCUGAUGUGGUUUUUUGACCUUUACUUGGCUACUCCCAAAGGAGUACACUGCACCCCUCAACAGAGAAAACUCCAGGUUAAUCAGCUCAGUGGAAGAUGAAUUAUCAUCCCACAUUCCAUGUGUGAUUGGAGGAGUUCCAAAAAGAACCUUCCAAGGAUGGCGGCCCCACUUCUGGGGAGAUGGACAGUGGCUCUAGUUCUGGAAAGUGCAUCCCCAGGCACUACGAUAGAUGUGGCUUUGGGUACCUUCCUGCCUCUCACUGUGCCACCUGCAGACUUUGCCAAAGAGAGGAGUCCGGCAAGGACUCUGCUUCUUGUGUAAUCAAGGAAAUAGGAUCAAUCAGAAGGGGACAUCCGCAUCCCGACCCCCAACGUCUACAUCCCACUACAUGUGUCCUGCGCAUUUGAAUGCCUCCUGCUACAAAGGAUGAGAUGUUUAUGCUCCUGUGUAAGAACCACCCCUCCCGCCUGCCCAGUUGCUCUUGCAGUUGUCUCCUAUCACUUCUGAAUCAUCAUUUUCUCCCCCUCUCCUGAAUCAUUUCAAUCAACAUGCCAAGAUUCUUGAGUAUCUCUCAUCUUAAAAACAAAAAUUCCACCUCUCUUGACCUUAUACCACUCUCCAGCUAUCACCCAUUUUUUUCUGUUUGCCUUUACAGCAAAACCCUUAAAGAAUUGUCUCUACUCCUCUGG
Molecule: long non-coding RNA, 980 nt
Organism: Leopardus geoffroyi (Geoffroy's cat)
Lineage: Eukaryota; Metazoa; Chordata; Mammalia; Carnivora; Felidae
Exons: 5
Source: RefSeq, a predicted model, not a curated record